RNAcentral lists this ribosomal RNA (2169 nucleotides) under Salmonella enterica subsp. enterica serovar Enteritidis. RNAcentral describes it as "partial 23S ribosomal RNA". It matches the Rfam family "Bacterial large subunit ribosomal RNA", at positions 649 to 2802 of the family's 2925-position model. The record is from RNAcentral. Lineage: Bacteria; Pseudomonadati; Pseudomonadota; Gammaproteobacteria; Enterobacterales; Enterobacteriaceae.
ACCGAAUAGGGGAGCCGGAGGGAAACCGAGUCUUAACCGGGCGUUAAGUUGCAGGGUAUAGACCCGAAACCCGGUGAUCUAGCCAUGGGCAGGUUGAAGGUUGGGUAACACUAACUGGAGGACCGAACCGACUAAUGUUGAAAAAUUAGCGGAUGACCUGUGGCUGGGGGUGAAAGGCCAAUCAAACCGGGAGAUAGCUGGUUCUCCCCGAAAGCUAUUUAGGUAGCGCCUCGUGAAUUCAUCUCCGGGGGUAGAGCACUGUUUCGGCUAGGGGGCCAUCCCGGCUUACCAACCCGAUGCAAACUGCGAAUACCGGAGAAUGUUAUCACGGGAGACACACGGCGGGUGCUAACGUCCGUCGUGAAGAGGGAAACAACCCAGACCGCCAGCUAAGGUCCCAAAGUCAUGGUUAAGUGGGAAACGAUGUGGGAAGGCCCAGACAGCCAGGAUGUUGGCUUAGAAGCAGCCAUCAUUUAAAGAAAGCGUAAUAGCUCACUGGUCGAGUCGGCCUGCGCGGAAGAUGUAACGGGGCUAAACCAUGCACCGAAGCUGCGGCAGCGACACUGUGUGUUGUUGGGUAGGGGAGCGUUCUGUAAGCCUGUGAAGGUGUGUCGUGAGGCAUGCUGGAGGUAUCAGAAGUGCGAAUGCUGACAUAAGUAACGAUAAAGCGGGUGAAAAGCCCGCUCGCCGGAAGACCAAGGGUUCCUGUCCAACGUUAAUCGGGGCAGGGUGAGUCGACCCCUAAGGCGAGGCCGAAAGGCGUAGUCGAUGGGAAACGGGUUAAUAUUCCCGUACUUGGUGUUACUGCGAAGGGGGGACGGAGAAGGCUAUGUUGGCCGGGCGACGGUUGUCCCGGUUUAAGCGUGUAGGUGUGUGUUCCAGGUAAAUCCGGUUCACUUUAACACUGAGGCGUGACGACGAGGCACUACGGUGCUGAAGCAACAAAUGCCCUGCUUCCAGGAAAAGCCUCUAAGCAUCAGGUAACAUCAAAUCGUACCCCAAACCGACACAGGUGGUCAGGUAGAGAAUACCAAGGCGCUUGAGAGAACUCGGGUGAAGGAACUAGGCAAAAUGGUGCCGUAACUUCGGGAGAAGGCACGCUGACACGUAGGUGAAGUGAUUUACUCAUGGAGCUGAAGUCAGUCGAAGAUACCAGCUGGCUGCAACUGUUUAUUAAAAACACAGCACUGUGCAAACACGAAAGUGGACGUAUACGGUGUGACGCCUGCCCGGUGCCGGAAGGUUAAUUGAUGGGGUCAGCGCAAGCGAAGCUCCUGAUCGAAGCCCCGGUAAACGGCGGCCGUAACUAUAACGGUCCUAAGGUAGCGAAAUUCCUUGUCGGGUAAGUUCCGACCUGCACGAAUGGCGUAAUGAUGGCCAGGCUGUCUCCACCCGAGACUCAGUGAAAUUGAACUCGCUGUGAAGAUGCAGUGUACCCGCGGCAAGACGGAAAGACCCCGUGAACCUUUACUAUAGCUUGACACUGAACAUUGAGCCUUGAUGUGUAGGAUAGGUGGGAGGCUUUGAAGUGUGGACGCCAGUCUGCAUGGAGCCGACCUUGAAAUACCACCCUUUAAUGUUUGAUGUUCUAACGUGGACCCGUUACCCGGGUUGCGGACAGUGUCUGGUGGGUAGUUUGACUGGGGCGGUCUCCUCCUAAAGAGUAACGGAGGAGCACGAAGGUUGGCUAAUCCUGGUCGGACAUCAGGAGGUUAGUGCAAUGGCAUAAGCCAGCUUGACUGCGAGCGUGACGGCGCGAGCAGGUGCGAAAGCAGGUCAUAGUGAUCCGGUGGUUCUGAAUGGAAGGGCCAUCGCUCAACGGAUAAAAGGUACUCCGGGGAUAACAGGCUGAUACCGCCCAAGAGUUCAUAUCGACGGCGGUGUUUGGCACCUCGAUGUCGGCUCAUCACAUCCUGGGGCUGAAGUAGGUCCCAAGGGUAUGGCUGUUCGCCAUUUAAAGUGGUACGCGAGCUGGGUUUAGAACGUCGUGAGACAGUUCGGUCCCUAUCUGCCGUGGGCGCUGGAGAACUGAGGGGGGCUGCUCCUAGUACGAGAGGACCGGAGUGGACGCAUCACUGGUGUUCGGGUUGUCAUGCCAAUGGCACUGCCCGGUAGCUAAAUGCGGAAGAGAUAAGUGCUGAAAGCAUCUAAGCACGAAACUUGCCCCGA